RNAcentral lists this ribosomal RNA (2222 nucleotides) under human metagenome. RNAcentral describes it as "bacterial LSU rRNA". It matches the Rfam family "Bacterial large subunit ribosomal RNA", at positions 500 to 2558 of the family's 2925-position model. The record is from RNAcentral.
ACCGUGAGGGAAUGGUGAAAAGUACCCCGGGAGGGGAGUGAAAUAGUACCUGAAACCGUGUGCCUGUAAGCCGUCAGAGCCUUGUGGGGUGAUGGCGUGCCUUUUGAAGAAUGAGCCUGCGAGUUAGUGAUACGUGGCGUGCUUAACCCGUGUGGGGUAUGCGUAGCGAAAGCGAGUCUGAAAUAUUUGGCGUUUGUCGCGUGUUCUAGACCCGAAGCGGGGUGAUCUACCCAUGGUCAGGUUGAAGCAGAGGUAAGACUGUGUGGAGGACCGAACCCACCAGGGUUGAAAACCUGGGGGAUGAACUGUGGGUAGGGGUGAAAGGCCAAUCAAACUCCGUGAUAGCUGGUUCUCCCCGAAAUGCAUUUAGGUGCAGCGUUGCGUGGUCCCUGGUGGAGGUAGAGCUACUGGAUGGCCGAUGGGCCCUGUGGGUUACUGACGUCAGCCAAACUCCGAAUGCCAUUAGGUGUAGCGUGGCAGUGAGACUGCGGGGGAUAAGCUUCGUAGUCGAGAGGGAAACAGCCCAGAUCAUCAGCUAAGGCCCCUAAGCGUACGCUAAGUGGGAAAGGAUGUGGAGUCGCGGUGACAACCAGGAGGUUGGCUUAGAAGCAGCCAUCCUUGAAAGAGUGCGUAAUAGCUCACUGGUCAAGUGGUUCUGCGCCGACAAUGUAGCGGGGCUCAAGCGUACCGCCGAAGCUGUGGCAACAACACGAUUGUGCUGGCGCCAGGAACUGGAGUGCUGGUGUGUUGUUGGGUAGGGGAGCGUCCUGCACGAGGUGAAGCCUGGAGGUGACUUCUGGUGGAUUGUGUGGGAGUGAGAAUGCAGGCAUGAGUAACGAAUCUGCGGUGAGAAUCCGCAGCGCCGAUUGACUAAGGGUUCCAGGGCUAGGUUUAUCCGCCCUGGGUUAGUCGGGUCCUAAGGCGAGGCCGACAGGCGUAGUCGAUGGACAACCAGUUGAUAUUCUGGUACCAGGUUGUGACCGCCCAUGCUGAGGUCAUUGUGCUAACCAAUCUGCCCGCACCUCUUCGUGGCUUUCGGGCCGCGAGCGUGUGUGUGGGUCUUGGGGUCCCGGUGAUGGUAGGCAAGCGUGUUAACAGGGGUGACGCAGACAGGUAGCUGCAGUGCGCCGAUGGUUGUGCGUAUUUAAGGUUGUGGCCCGUCUCCCAGGUAAAUCCGGGGGGCACCCAGGGUGAGAACUGAUGAGGGUGACACGGUUGUGUUGUCUUGUGGUGAUCCUAUGCUGCCAAGAAAAGCCUCGACGUGAGGGCAUGACGCGCCCGUACCCUAAACCGACUCAGGUGGUCAGGUAGAGUAUACCGAGGCGUUCGAGUGAAUCAUGGUUAAGGAACUCGGCAAAAUUCCUCCGUAACUUCGGGAUAAGGAGGACCCCUUGACUUCCCCGCGCCCAGCGCGCUGGUGGGGUUGGGGGGUCGCAGAGAAUAGGGAGAAGCGACUGUUUAUCAAAAACACAGGUGCGUGCGAAGCCGUAAGGCGAUGUAUACGCACUGACGCCUGCCCGGUGCUGGAAGGUUAAGAGGAACUGUUAACAUUCUUUGUGGGUGUGAAGCGGUGAAUUUAAGCCCCAGUAAACGGCGGUGGUAACUAUAACCAUCCUAAGGUAGCGAAAUUCCUUGUCGGGUAAGUUCCGACCUGCACGAAUGGCGUAACGACUUCUCCGCUGUCUCAACCGUGAACUCGGUGAAAUUGCAGUACGAGUAAAGAUGCUCGUUUCGCGCAGAAGGACGGAAAGACCCCGGGACCUUUACUAUAGCUUGGUAUUGGUGUUCGCUUGGACUUGUGUAGGAUAGGUGGGAGACUGUGAAGCUGCCGCGCCAGCGGUGGUGGAGUCGUCGUUGAAAUACCAUUCUGGUUCAAGCGGUCACCUUAACCUUGGCCCGUGAUCCGGGUUGGGGACAGUGCCUGGUGGGUAGUUUAACUGGGGCGGUUGCCUCCUAAAAUGUAACGGAGGCGCUCAAAGGUUCCCUCAGCCUGGUUGGUAAUCAGGUGGCGAGUGCAAGUGUACAAGGGAGCUUGACUGUGAGACCGACGGGUCGAGCAGGUGCGAAAGCAGGAACUAGUGAUCCGGCCAUGGCACGUGGGUGCGUGGUCGCUCAACGGAUAAAAGGUACCCCGGGGAUAACAGGCUGAUCUUGCCCAAGAGUCCAUAUCGACGGCAUGGUUUGGCACCUCGAUGUCGGCUCGUCGCAUCCUGGGGCUGGAG